AGAUUGAACGCUGGCGGCAUGCCUAACACAUGCAAGUCGAACGGGAGUGGCAAUACUCUAGUGGCGGACGGGUGAGGAAUACGUAGGAAUUUGCCCUUAAGUGGGGGAUAACCCGGGGAAACCCGGAUUAAUACCGCAUGACCUCGAAAGAGCAAAGUGGGGGAUCGCAAGACCUCACGCUUUUGGAGAAGCCUACGUCGGAUUAGCUAGUUGGUGAGGUAAUGGCUCACCAAGGCGACGAUCCGUAACUGGUCUGAGAGGAUGAUCAGUCACACCGGAACUGAGACACGGUCCGGACUCCUACGGGAGGCAGCAGUGGGGAAUAGUUGGACAAUGGGCGCAAGCCUGAUCCAGCAAUGCCGCGUGUGUGAAGAAGGCCUUACGGGUUGUAAAGCUACGUUUAAGGUUAGGGAAGUAAAAACUCGACUACUAACACAGUAGAGUCUUGACGGUACCGACAGAAUAAGCACCGGACUAACUCUGUGCCAGCAGCCGAC
RNAcentral lists this ribosomal RNA (497 nucleotides) under uncultured soil bacterium. RNAcentral describes it as "bacterial SSU rRNA". It matches the Rfam family "Bacterial small subunit ribosomal RNA", at positions 26 to 518 of the family's 1533-position model. The record is from RNAcentral.